CCUACGGGUGGCAGCAGUAGGGAAUCUUCCACAAUGGGCGCAAGCCUGAUGGAGUAACACCGCGUGAGUGAAGAAGGGUUUCGGCUCGUAAAGCUCUGUUGUUGGAGAAGAACGUGCGUGAGAGUAACUGUUCACGCAGUGACGGUAUCCAACCAGCAAGUCCCGGCUAACUACCGGCCAGCAGCCGCGGGAAUACGUAGGUGGCAAGCGUUAUCCGGAUUUAGUGGGCGUAAAGCGGGCGCAGGCUGUUGCUUAGGUCUGAUGUUAAAGCCGUCGGCUUAACCGAAGAAGUGCAUCGGAAACCGGGGGACUUGAGUGCGGAAGAGGACAGUGGAACUCCAUGUGUAGCGGUGGAAUGCGUAGAUAUAUGGAAGAACACCAGUGGCGAAGGCGGCUGUCUGGUCUGCAACUGACGCUGAGGCUCGAAAGCAUGGGUAGCGAACAGGAUUAGAUACCCCUGUAGUC
Molecule: ribosomal RNA, 465 nt
Filed under: uncultured bacterium
Lineage: Bacteria
Description: partial 16S ribosomal RNA
Rfam family: Bacterial small subunit ribosomal RNA
Source: RNAcentral